UCUCUCAAAUCUGACACAGAUCUGAUGGAAUCGCGUUGAAGGGAGCCACAAAACAACAAAACAUGCGCCGAGCUGUCGGCAAAUUGUCUUCUUCUCAUGCACACCGUUGUGCGCAACACCAGCCUCUCCUCCAUCUUUUUUUUUCUUUUUCUUCCUCUCCUCUCUCGACUGCCGAUUGAUGGUAACUGUAGCCUUACUCUCUCUUUCUCUCUUUCUCUCUCUCUUUCUCUCUUUCUCUCUCUUCCUGCGCUGAUUUCCUUCCCUCCUUUUACAUUUAACCGUCAUGUCAAAAUUCUAAAAUUGGCCGAAAAAGGUUU
Molecule: long non-coding RNA, 317 nt
Filed under: Carica papaya (papaya)
Lineage: Eukaryota; Viridiplantae; Streptophyta; Magnoliopsida; Brassicales; Caricaceae
Description: long non-coding RNA (CPAP_LNC014294)
Source: RNAcentral